ACAUUGCUCAGAAGGGCCCACGGUGACAGAGCACCCCAGUUCUUGCACGUUUAACCCUGUUUUCGGGGCCCGGUACACAGGUUCUCUUACUCAACUUUUGCAGAUGGUGCUCCAUUGUUUUGUGCGUGGUUGUUUUUAGAAGCUAGAUGUCUGUCUGAUUCCUCGAGGCCUUGAGGGUGUUGCCCUUCAGCUUUGAAGCCUGAGGUUUUGCUGGCACACACCUCGGGGGCCGUUGUUCCCAUCAGUUCCCUGUCAGGCCAGCGCUCUCCGCAUGUGGGUGGAGGGACUCCUUUCCUCACCUGGGAAGUCUCCCUAGAUGACAGUUUUACAUGUAUACCCCAUCCCAUUCCUCGGGUUCUGGUUGCUCGAGAUGUCUUUCAUCUGCCUUUCAUCCCACUUUAUUCCAUUUUCAUUCUUAACCCUUUUACUUCUUUUUACACCAUUUCCAUUUCUUUUGGUUGUUUUCUUGCCUUUCUUCAAUGCUCUUAAUUACAUUUUUUAAAAACAUCUUUAUUGGAGUAUAAUUGCUUUACAAUGUUGUGUUAGUCUCUGCUGUAUCACAAAGUGAAUCAGCUAUACAUAUACAUAUACAUCCCCAUAUCCCCUCCCUCUUGAGCCUCCCUCCCACCCUCCCGAUCCCACCCCUCUAGGUGGACACAAAGCACCGAGCGGAUCUCCCUGUGCUAUGCGGCUGCUUCCCACUAGCUAUCUAUUUUACAUUUGGUGGUGUAUAUAUGUCCAUGCCACUCUCUCACUUUGUCCCAGCUUACCCUUCCCCCAUCCUGUGUCCUCAAGUUCAUUCUCUAAGUCUGCGUCUUUAUUCCUGUCCUGCCCCUAGGUUCUUCAGAACCAUUUUUUGUUUUUUCUAGAUUACAUAUAUAUGUGUUAGCGUACGGUAUUUGUUUUUCUCUUUCUGAUUUUACUCUGUAUGACAGACUCUAGGUCCACCCACCUCACUACAAAUAACUGAAUUUUAUUUCUUUUUAUGGCUGAGUAAUAUUCCAUUGUAUAUAUGUGCCACAUCUUCUUUAUCCAUUCAUCUGUCGAUGGACACUUCGGUUGCUUCCAUGUCCUGGCUAUUGUAAACAGUGCUGCAGUGAACAUUGUGGUACCUGACUCUUCCUGAAUUAUGGUUUUCUCAGGGUAUAUGCCCAGUACUGGGAUUGCUGGGUCGUAUGGUAGUUCUAUUUUUUAGUUUUUUAAGGAAGCUCCAUACUGUUCUCUAUAGUGGCUGUAUCAAUUUACAUUCCCACCCAUUGCAAGAGGGUUCCCUUUUCUCCACACCAUCUCCAGCAUUUAUUGUUUGUAGAUUUUUUGAUGAUGGCCAUUCUGACCAUUGUGAGGUGAUACCUCAGUGUAGUUUUGAUUUGCAUUUCUCUAAUGAUUAGUGAUGAUGGGCACCCUUUCACGUGUUUGUUGGCAGUCUGUGUAUCUUCUUUGCAGAAUGUCUAUUUAGGUCAUCUGCCCAUUUUUGGAUUGGGUUGUUUGUUUUUUUAAUAUUGAGCUGCAUGAGCUGUUUAUAUAUUUUGGAGAUUAAUCCUUUGUCCAUUGGUUCAUUUGCAAAUAUUUUCUCCCAUUCUGAGGGUUGUCUUUUCAUCUUGUUUAUGGUUCCCUUUGCUGUGCAAAAGCUUUCAAGUUUCAUUAGAUCCCAUUUGUUUGUUUUUAUGUCCAUUUCUCUAGGAGGUGGGUCAAAAAGGAUCUUGCUGUGAUUUAUGUUAUAGAGUGUUCUGCCUAUGUUUUCCUCUAAGAGCUUUAUAGUGUCUGGCCUUACAUUUAGGUCUUUAGUCUAUUUUGAGUUUAUUUUUGUGUAUGGUGUUAGGGAGUGUUGUAAUUUCAUUCUUUUACAUGUAGCUGUACAGUUUUCCCAGCACCACUUAUUGAAGAGGCUGUCUUUUCUCCGUUGUAUAUUCUUGCCUCCUUUAUCAAAGAUAAGGUAACCAUAUGUGCAUAGGUUUAUCUCUGGGCUUUCUAUCCUGUUCCACUGAUCUAUAUUUCUGGUUUUGUGCCAGUACCAUACUGUCUUGAUUACUGUAGCUUUGUAGUAUAGUCUGAAGUCAGGAAGCCUGAUUCCUCCAGCUCUGUUUUUCUUGCUCAAGAUUGCCUUGGCUGUUCAGGGUCUUUUGUGUUUCCAUACAAAUUGUGCAACUUUUUGUUCUAGUUCUGUGAAAAAUGCCAUUGGUAGUUUGAUACAGAUUGCAUUGAAUCGGUAGAUUGCUUUGGAUAGUAUAGUAAUUUUCAGAAUGUUGCUUCUUCCAAUCCAAGAACAUGGUAUAUCUCUCCAUCUAUUUGUAUCAUCUUUAAUUUCUUUCAUCAGUGCCUUAUAGGUUUCUGCAUACAGGUCUUUUGUCUCCUUAGGUAGGUUUAUUCCUAGGUAUUUUAUUCUUUUUGUUGCAAUGGUAAAUGGGAGUGUUUCCUUAAUUUCUCUUUCAGAUUUUUCAUCAUUAGUGUAUAGGAAUGCAAGAGAUUUCUGUGCAUUAAUUUUGUAUCCUGCUACUUUACCAAAUUCAUGGAUUAGCUCUAGUAGUUUUCUGGUAGCAUCUUUAUGAUUCUCUAUAUAUAGUAUCAUGUCAUCUGCAAACAGUGACAGUUUUACUUCUUCUUUUCUGAUUUUGAUUCCUUUUAUUUCUUUUUCUUCUCUGAUUGCUGUGGCUAAAAUUUCCAAAACUAUGUUGAAUAAGAGUGGUGAGAGUGGGCAACCUUGUCUUGCUCCUGAUCUUAGUGGAAAUGGUUUCAGUUUUUCACCAUGGAGAAUGAUGUUGGUUGUGGGUUUGUCAUAUAUGGCCUUUAUUAUGUUGAGGUAAAUUCCCUCUAUGUUAAUUGCAUUUUUAUUUGAGUCUGUUCUUCCUUGUUCACCUUGUAAUUUAUCCUACUUUCUGAGGGAGACUCAUGUAGACAGCAAGCAAUCAACGGAAUUGCAGGCGAGAUACAGUCAUUUUCAGUAACACAUAGGUAUGAAGUUCACUCCAAGACACUCUUUCUGAGGAAAGAAAUUUACUUGAGCAAAUAUUCCAAUAAAUUGAGGGUUGGGAAAAAAGGGAAGCCUUGAGAUCCAGAACGUGAUUAAUCCAACCCAAGCUGUAAUGAAGGGAAUCCCCAGACUUCAGCUGUGCAUCAGGUUUAGAAAACACUAGGUCCAGAUUCCUGCAUGUGGAUGGAGGGUUCUGGAGAAAUCUCCAGGAAGAAAGGGGCUCCAGGCAGUAAACAGUGAUAUUGAAAAAUAGAACAUCUUCAAGAUAUGAUGAAAGUUUUUUAAUUAAUAAAAAAUAAAAAGAAAAUUAGAGAGUUUAAGAAAAUGAAGCAAAGCAUUUAUGGUCCUGGUAUGAAAGAAGUUAAAAUGAGUUUAAGCACCAUGAUUGUUAGCGAUUUAUGUAAUGUGAGAGUGUGUAUUUGAUUAAGCUUGAUUCUAGGAAUAUUUUGCUUCUGAUGCCUAAAUAGUUGUCCUGUGGGGUCUUGGAGAAGGAGUGUUACUUGACUGAAUGAUUAAUGAUAUUUACACAAGUAUCAUAAGGUAAGUGCUGGUUAUGAUUUUGAAUUUUUCCUUAUCAUCCAUAAACUAAGGAUAGAAAAUUUGGUUAUAGUUAUAGAAACCACAUAACUGUUGACACCUUGACCAUUUAAAAUUUGGCUAAGAGAUGUGAGAGGUGAAAGUGGGAGGCUUGGUUGUGAUGGUGGGAUGGCCCGUAUCCUCGCUGUAGACAGGUGUACACGCUGUGGACCACACAAAACGAAUCACAGUAUAAUUGUGAAGCCCCGGGACCGAGAGGUCUGCAGAGAGUUCUGUGUUCUAACUGAGGUACAUUCUGUUCUUUUGCAGUAGAGAGCCAGGAGGCACAGUUGGUUAUAAACACGGAAUCAGCCUUGCUGUUGAGAGACGUUGUCUUUGAGGUGGGCUUGUGAGUGGGGAGAGCUGAGAUGAACAGGUGUUGAUUUUGAGCACAAAGUCUGAACCGCACACAUCAUCACCAUGAACAUCCCAUUAAUGUGAUGAUUUUUUGUGCUAAAGGGAUGCUGGCGAACGUUUAACAUGAUUCUGAGAGCAAGAAAGAAGUUCAAUAUUUGGGGCACUUUGAUUAAUAUGAAACACUGACAGAAAGAACUGACUACAAUACUUUUAUUUUGAAUUAUUACUUCCUGUCAAUAUGAAGUGGAAUAUUAUUGUUGGGUCAGUUGCUGUCCUUGGUCCAGUUAACUGUGGACAAAUGACAUGGCAGUUCUGGCUGUUACCCCGUGGGUAGGGGCAAGCUCCAAUCCUAGAAAUUAUAUAGUCUAAAGAGUAGUUUUGUACUUUUUAAUUUGUGUAUGAGAUUAUAUCACAGAAAUGUUAUUCACUAUGUGUAUUGCAGAAGAAAACUGAUUGAGAACUAUUGCUGUAUAUAUUUAGGAUUUAUUCAAUAUGGGGCCAAUGUAUGUGAAUAAACCAGUGAAAAGAGAGGCCUUAAUUGAAAUUGCAAGGUCCUAGAAGGAAGCUAAGAAUACCUGAGCUUGGGAAAAAAGGAGGAGGAACAGGAAGAGAACAAGUUGUAGGAAAAUCUCUCCUUUUGGUUUUAGGAAUGAUUUAAAGGAUCAGCAUUUCAGCUUGUAGAAGACAGGAGAGCUAUCCUUAAGUCUGUAGAGUUAUCAUGUAGGAAGAGUCCACUUGUUUCCUGGCUUCCAUGUUGCUGAACUAGGUCCCAGGGUUGGAAGUUUCUGAAAGAUUUAUUUUUAGCUCAGUGUAACAAAGAGCUUCCAAACUACCAAAGAAAUUGAUCAUUUCCACCAAUUAAAGCAGCUUAAAAAGAAUGCGUUCUGUUCAAAAGAACUUUCCUCCUACUCUAGGCAGACAGGCAUCACAGGUUACAGUGGCCAUGGGUGGGGCGAGUGGUUCUACCAGUAACUCACAAGUUGCUUUACAACCCCAUGACCAUAGGAGUCCGGUCCCCGGACUGUUCCAUUUCAAAUACCUUAUUAUGAAAAAGUUUAAGCAUACAUUCAAUACAUAGUAGAUCUCCAUGCACCCAUCACCCAACGUCAACAGUUACCAACUCAAUUCUCGUUUCAGCUCCCCGCCCCCAACACAUGCUCUAUUUAUUUUGAGGAAACUCUGGCACGGUAUACUUCUAGCUGUAAAUAUUUCAGUAUAUAGUAAUAUCCUCAAAAGAUAAGGACUCUUGGCCAUAUAUAUUGAACCAUCCUUUACUGAGGUGUAACUUACACACCCCUGGCCGUAGUCUUGAUAGGUAAGACAAAUCCCUCCGUCUCUUGCCAUGUUUUUCUUCUACCACCUUAGUCCAACCACCAUUAUCUCUCUCCUGGACCACUUUCACGUGACCUCCUCUUGUCCACCCGGCAGCCAGACUCUUUCUGAAACAUCAGGCAGACUGUGUCAUUCUUCUACUCCCUGUGGUGGCCAUCCCGCUGCCUAGAAUAAGAUAAGAGCUUCCCACUGUGGCCUCUCAGACCUGCCCGGGGCCCGCCUCCACCCACUCUCCUCCUGGCCCAAUAAGUUCCACCCGCGUAGGUGUAGUUUAACAUCUCCCAGUCAUUUCUGUUUCACACCAAGCCGUCUGCGUUAGAACUUCUGCCCUUGCUCUUCUUCCCGACUAGAAUGAUUUUCCAGAAAUUUUCUCAUGAACGGCUUCCUGCCUUUCAGAUCUCAGUUCCUUAAUCAUGUCUUCAGAGAGACCUCUGACCACCUGAUCUGAACAGUCUUCUCUCUUGUUCUCUGUCCUAUCGCCCCGUUUCAGUCUCCAUAGCACACGGUUCUCUAGAAGCAGUCUGUCUAUGCACGUGUCCACCCUCUUACUGGCUGCUCCUCUGCACAGAAUACAAGCCACGCUAGAAGGGGGUUGCAUGCCUGUCUUGUUUAAUACCAGGGAGAAAGGUGUUAGGGCAGCUUGACUGUGAUCUGUUUCCCUCUAGUUACUGGGAACACACAGGGGCCACUCGGGAGAGAGAAGGCAGGUAGGCUGGACUGUCUCUGUCACCAAGGCAAUACCCCAUCUCCUGGUACGUAGACUCAUGGUAUUUGCUGGGAAGAGAGUCUUAAUCUAUGUGAUGCUUUUAGCAGGAUGUCUCUGGGUUAGGAUUGCGUGUGGUAAGUAAAUCUGUGAUCUGUGGAUCUGUGAGCCAUGGCUCCCCCAGAAACGUCUACAAGCUGCACAAGUACCUGAGGUAUGAAGUGGAGAUAUUCCAUAGCCUGAAGGUUCCCCGCUGUGUGAACUGACCCUGUGCUUGGCCCAGAGGCCUGGGAGGAGAGGAGGCUCCGAACUUGAGUCUGCUUUUUCAUGCCUCCUGAUGGCUUCAUCCUUGAAACUGCCAGUGAAACCUGAUCCAGGGUAAGAGCUCUGAUUCGUGAGUCCAGUUUGAGUAUCUGAUCAAUUUGUUGGCCCCACUGUCUGAUGCCCAGAGCCUACAGCACUGCUUGGCUCGAAGAGCAAACUAAAUCCUUGCCUGUGAAUGGGCGCGAUCCAGUGUCUUGGGGACGGUCGACUGGAAUUAAAAGAGCCAUCUUUUUUGUAGCAGUUUUCUUCACUUUUAAGCAAUCCAUGUUACUUGUUUUAUUAGUUCCAUACUUUAUAUGGGAUACUCAGAUAUAAAGAAAUAUAUCCAGAUUAAUAGUGACAGUGGCUAGAAUCAAGGUUCAUAAAAAUAACUGACGUACUUUGGAAAAUGCUCCCUUGCAAGCGUGUGAUGACUAUGUGUGGGUGUCACAGUGACCAUGUGGGACUGAUGAGGACUACGUAGGGCCUGGCUGUGCUGGCGUCCCACAGAACACACGGUAGGUGCGGUCCUGCUGUAAGGCGUAUCAUUGCAUUUUUAAAAGCUUCUCCACAAGGGAAUCUUGAAAGAAAAAAGUCCUCAAGUUAGAAACCACAGAAGCUUUCGCUCUCAUUCGAACUAUCAGCACAGAACUUCAUUUUUGCUCUUUUGAGUCUGUUUUUGUUACUGGCACAGAAGGAUACUUUAAUAUUUUCCAGAGAUGAAGACUUGCAGGCACACUGGCAGCUUCUGAGUUUGCUUCUGUAAAGUGAUCCCUCAGUCUUGUGUGUGGUUGUUGGUCCUGAUUCCUUUAGAUGGAAGUAUUUGGGAAAGGUAUUGGGUUAAAUGGAGACACAAAUCUGAAAUAAUGUUGCUAUUUUCUGCUGGAAGCAACUAUUCCAACAUGGAUGUAUUGGGCAUGAAAACUAAACAAUAAUUGUUUUUAUUUAUCAUUAACAAUUCAUACAAAUCUAUAUGGAAAACUGCAUUCUCUGAACUUCAUCUUUGGCCUCCUCCAUUGCCCUUUCCUAACUUGCCAAGUUUUGUAUUAUCCUGACUUCAAAAAAGAUGGAAAUUUCCCAAGUAUGGGUGGUCUUGUUUCAGGCAGAUAGCACAUUGUUAAAUUAUUACACCACGUUUUAACCAGAGCACAGUUGUUUUAAGCUAUAUUAAGUACAUCUGGGUAACAGCUAGUAAGUUUCACUUCCAAGGAUAAGGUGAACUACUGGAAAAUAUCUUAUUGCUUUUAAAUUUUGCCUUUGCUUUCCAUGAUUUAUGUCAUAUUAUAAAAGAAAGAAAGAAAAAAGAACUUCUGAUGGAUGAGUCUGUUUUUUCCCCUGUUGCUGAAUUUAAGAAUUUGAAGUAGUUCAUGGUCUCCUUUAUAAAUAUAAAUAGUUCAUGAGGUCUCCUCUCAUGCCUUUUAAUUGUCAAACCCAAGAAAAUCUAAUAAUAGAUCUUUGAGCUUUAAAGAAAAUUAUGGAAAGGGAAUAUGGGCACUAAGUAGUGCUACCUUAUGCUUGGCGUGCCGGGAGACCUAUGCUCAGACUUUGGUUCUGAACAGAGUUUAUUUGCUGCUCCUCAAGUUCUCUAUGAUUGAUGGCAAUGUAUUAGCUCACAAUCCUGCCAGGUAUGGGAAUUACAUUUAUAGCCUCAAGAAAAUAAGUGACUUAUUGAAAAUUAUGGAGCUAGUUCAUAGCAGAGCACGUGUUAUAAGAGGUCUCCAGAAUCCUAGGUGGGUGUUUUCCCACUAUACUGUGGUAGCCUUUCAGUACAAUUUAGAAUUUUACUUGUGAAUGGUUAGCUAUCUUAAUUUUUAGAUAAGUCAUCUUAUAAAAUUAUACUUUAAAUGGUUCACAGAAUUAAAAAGAUAUUCAUAGGUAUCUUUUACAUUAAAAUAUUCUUAUAGAUGAGUAGAAAAUACAAAUGAUUUCAAGUUUUACCUGGAUGAGAAAUUUGUAUAUCCAGACAUUAGAGUAUAUGAAGUUACCAAGGAGGGAAUUUAAGAUAAGAGCUAACGGUGACCAAGAAAAAAGAAAGAAGACUCAAAUUACUGAAAUCAGAAAUGGAAGUGGAGACAUCACUGACUAUCUUACAAAUGAGCUACUGUAUGACAGUAAUGUAUGUAGCUUGGGUGAAACGGAAACAGUCCUAGAAAGAUACAAAUUAGUGAAAUUGACUCAAGAAUAAAUAGAAAAUUCUAGUAGAUUUCUAACAAGAGACUAAAUUGUAAUAAUAAUUUUAAAACUUCCCACAAAGAAAAUCCAGGACAAGAUGGCUUCAUUGGUAACUCCUACCAAACAAGAAGAAUUAAUACCACUUCUUCACAAAAUCUUCCAAGAAAUUAGAGGGAACACAUCACAACUCCUUCAGUGAGUUUCCUGAAGAUUUUUGCUGAAGGAUGUCUUGCGAUCAUAAUAAGAACCACAAGGGCCGGUGCAACCACAACAUUGAUUAUUGAUAGGCUGAGAUCAACACAAUAAAUUGGUGUUGUGAUUGCACUUGGAAUUAACCAAGGGUGAUGCUCUUUACCUGCAACUUGCUUAACAACCAUCUGACUCAGGUGAGUAACACCAUCUGGGGAAGGACCACUGCUUGGCGGGGGUUGCAAGCUGCUACGUGCUUCUGCUUAUUAUCGCCUCUGUCGUGUGUUCCCUGUGGUGUUGAUCCAAAGACCACGGCUGCCAUAACAAUCCAACACUCUCCCAAGAGCAGUGUGAUCAAGGCCAUCUGUCUAAUGACUAACUGUAACGGCCUUAAUUGACUAUUAAUGUGGGGAGGGUUCUCCAUGCCUUGAGGCCAAAGAGAACUAAAGAGGUGGAUUGGAUGGCAAGGCUAUUGUCAUGGUCCAAGGAGAGGCUCUGGGCUAAAGGACGUGAGGACAGGAUUCCGUAGGUGAGCAGGACGAGAGACCUCUGCCUUCAACCUCUGACUCAGUGAGUUGCGCCCGGACUACGUGUCCUAACCCAGAAGAGUGAAGUAACCUUGCACCCAGAAACCAGUGGCACCACCCCUGACCCAGUGGGAUAUUAUGGAUCCAGUCCCUGGUGUGAUGUUGCUAAAAAAUAAUGGACAAAUAUAACGUCUGGAACACCUGGUGCCAGCACUUCCUAUGAACCCUGAGGAGGUGCAUCAGCUCCUUGACAAAUGCAAAACACCAUGGAAGGCUCCUGGGUGUUGCUCUGUGCAGGCCUGGCGGCCUUUCCCAAAGACUCUCUGCAUUGCCCAAUGGAGGCAGACCCCAAUCCCGGAGAGGUGUCUUGGGACACCCUGGAGAGGAAAGAGGCUGCCUAUGAAGGGGGCUCACAGUGACAUCAUCCCGAAUGUUUCAGUGGCAACACAGAAGAUUCAGGACACAAUUGGAAACAUUAUUUAAUUCCCCAGACUUUGACUGGAAGGUAUUAUUUGAGAAUGUGCAUAGACUCAGAUAUGACCAGACAGUUUGGAAAACCAACCUAUAGCCUGCUAACAGGGUUCCUGGCAGGCUUAUCAGGUGAGUAAAGGAGGUCACUUCCUGGCAGGUGCAGGAACCUCAGGGUAUCUUGGGGACCUUGAGAAGAGAGGAAUUAACUCAAAUCUAUAGGUGCUGCAGGCAAAGCCUAAUGGCAAGUCCUCGGCUUGGCUUCCUAGCCUCCUGAGGCUUUUAAAAGCUCAAUCUGAGAUUCUUUAUGAAAAGUUCCUGCAAAGCAGACUUAAAAAGAGCCAAUACGGUCAGUUGGAAUUCUUGCUGCACUUAUGUAAAUAAUCAGGCCAGUUUAUUGGAACUAGACUUAAUUUGUAAAUAAAUUAGUCUUACUAUGUUGUCUUUGAUAGCAAGGGGAUGAUUGUAGACAGAAAACCAUGUUUCAGUAGAAACUAUAAUAUACAGUUGGGGAUAUUAGAUUCCAGUUCUGUUAAUUGUAUUUGAGGUUUUGUUUCUGACCUGUAAAGCAGACCAGAUCCUAAAUUCUCCCUGUUUCCUCUGAUCUCAGCCCUCAGCUCUCCAAAGUAAUGUUUCCAAUUUUUCUCCCACCCUCUGACUUGGAAUCAUUGAGAACUAAAACUGCCUUUUUCCUGAAGCCAUGCAAGCUAAAGUUGGACAAUUUGAUAUAAGCUUAGAGAAAUCACAGCAGUUCAUGUUGCCACAGCAGCUUCAUGCUUGUUGCUGUGUGGUCACUCAGAAAGACCACCAGAGACAUUCAAGCUGCAAGUAGGGAAAAGAUGUCAGGUUGCCACUGCCUGCCCUCACUCCAUCUGGAGAUGCUUCGAACCCCACAUCUAGAAACCUUACCUGGCUGCUUUCAGAACUCAGAAACUGGGAUUAUAGUCUGCUCCAAUCACUAACCAUUGGUUUUCCUUUGUUUCCAUAGAAACACCUUUUAUUAAAAACCUGAUGCAAGUAUGUGCGCCAUGUAGGCCUAACUUGGGGAACCCACCUGCAUCGCCACUUCCUGAAAUGAGACACAGCCUCUACUUGAACUGACCUACUGUCUGGACUAAGAGAGGGUUCAAUGAGAUAAAGACAACCCAGCAACUCAGGACAGGUUCAAACCUUCUUACACCAGGUGGCCAAGACAAUAAAGUAGUUCACAAUGGCACCCAAAUCUUUGACCAGAUUCCUCGGGCCCCCAAGGUCACUGACUUAGUUUUAUUGCAGGACACUUCAAAUUUGGGACAGUGGAUACAGACGAGAUUUCAGACUGCUGUCUGUGUAUUUAUUAUAGGAUUUGGGACUAGAAUCCUAUUUAGAUAUGUGCUUUCUGAGUUACAAUGCACCCUACCCCUGACUUAGCACAUCAGCUACGGAGGCAGUUACAUUCUCACCACCCUCACCUUUGACUCUGAUGGCUUGGCAUCACAGGCUGGGUGGUAGGGUGAGCCCUAACAGGUGGGGUUUUUCCUUUUUGUAAUGCAAAUGCAUAACUUAAGCUUUGAUUGCCCAGGCCCCCACUUCAGAUAGGGCAUCAGCUUCAAGGAAGGCUACCUGGGAAAAGCACAUUGCUAUUAGCCACGCCAGAUACAGAGCCAGGCCACCUUCCCCACUGAGGUGGCUUUGUUUGGAAGAUCUUAUUUAAUUGCAGCGACUGACCAUUGGGGCACUUGUUUUAUUUUCUCUUUCUGCACUUUAAAUUCCUGCUUUCAUGUUUUAAAUUCACCAGUAAAGAGUGAGCCUAGGAAAACCCCAGGCCCCCACGCCAAGCCCCAGUAAAAGUAGGACCCCAGGCCUGUGCUCACAGUAUCCUUCUCUCCCUCCCUCCCUCCCUCCCUCCCUCCCUCCCUCUCUCUCUCCACCUCUCUGUCUCUCUAUCCCCCUGACCUCGCAGUGUGGCACCAGGUGUGCUGUGUAAUUUCCAGGUCCUGUAAGUAAUAAACCUCUAGUUUUUCAAGUUUCCCAAUAGUUAGUGCUGAGGGGUGUCUUGCCAUCAUAAUGAGAACCACAAGGGCCGGUUCAGCCACAGUGUUGGUUAUUGACAGGCUGGGGCCAGCACACAACAGCUAUUAAGAUUCCUUUUUGGUAUUUGAAUGAUCAAAUGACUAAUGUUAUGUGGCAUAUGUCAUGGGUUUGCACAACGUUUGGCACAAAGCAAGAAUGUGAUUGUGGUCCACCCAAGCCUCGCUGCAGAGGGGUGGUCUAAACAAAUUCUGGAAUAAACAGUUUCUGCUCUUUUUGACAUUCUGUUUAAGGGCAUUCUUUUCAGAUGUGGGAGUGCAUUCUGUUUCGUUAGCAGAACUGACUUUGUAUUUCAGACUUCGGGAGGAAGGUGCCUGGGUGUUUUCAUAGUAAAGGUUACUAUUAUUAGUUUUGCAAAUGGUUGACUGAUAAACAGAGAAAAGGAUGAAAUUUGUGGGAUAUGCUAGCACCUACAGAUGCAUCCGUCUGGAAGGAAGGGUUGAAGUGGGGUGCGGACAACUCAACAUUUGAAAAGAUAGCUUUUUCACAUGUCUAGCAGGAAUCUUCGUGCUGAUACUAUUAGACUGAACCAUAUUAAAUUACCAAUAUUUGACUGUCUUUACCCUACAAAAUGGCAGCUCCAUACGGCUCAACCAAAUAUGUUUUUCAAAAGAGGGAGCAGUAAUAUACAGAUCCAGACCCAUAUACAAAGCCUGCCUUUCUGCCACCCUUUCUUUCCUCUCUGACUUCUUUCUUUCCACUUUCUGAUAAAAACUUUAUUCAGUGCCAGCUUUGUUUCAGGCUUUAGUUUUAGGAAUAAUUUAUUUGAUUGGUUUCUUCUGUAUGUUCCCAACUUAACUUUAAUUUUACUUCUAUUGACAACUUCAUGGUACUCUGACACACUGCCGGCACAAGAGCUGGCUCAUGAAGGUACAGGGUAUCGGGAGAGCCAAUGAAGAUUCUGGUUUUGGUCUGGGACACGUCUCCAGUGAUGGCGCUCCUGCUUUGCCAUUUAGGUUUUGAGUCACUUGCGGUGUGAGACCUCAAGUUACGAAAGUAUGUAUGUCACAUUUACUGACCACACUCCGUUAAAUCUGCCCUUUCCUCUGCAGUCCUUUAUUUGAGUUUUUCAACAGAGGACUAAAAAAAAUGAAUGGAAGCAAUUUAAUUCCUAUGUUUCCCUGGCAAAGAUAAGAACAUAAAGAUUCCAGGAGAAGAACUGAAUGGUAACAAAGCUAAUAUCAAUAUUGAAGAGAAAUGUACAGUUUGACUCGGAACAAGUGUGCUUGUCUGUAAUUUUGAAAUUAAUGGCAAGAAAAGUGAGGUUGCGUGGAAAAGAUGGGCACUUACGUGAAUGCUUCAAGGAAGAGUGGGGACAGAUGAGGAGGAGCAGUGGGGCAGUUGGUGAUGGAGCAGAGACGUGUAUCCAGGCGCAGGUGUUGGGCACUCAGAUGUGACCCUGAGGCAGCUCGCCCGAGGAGGGGAGACCAUCCUACCCCUCCUCUGCCUCCUCUUUUUUUUGCCAGCGUGUGAAGUUGCGUCAAUAGCAGAUUUAUAUUCUCCAUACAAAUACUUUCAACCCCCGAGUCUUAGAAAACGGGGCAUCCUAACUCUCCACAUGCAGGGUCCAGGGCACGUGGACACAACCUCCUGGCAUUUCUGUCCUGGCAGCAUGGCUCCACUCGCCAGCGUCUGGAGGCAGGUGUUUCAUUGCAUCGCUGUCGCUAGAUUACCACUCUCAUCAUCAGAGUGGCCAGCUCUUCUCUACUUCUGCUAACGUUUUAAGGAAGUACGUUGGUCAGGGGCGCCCACGCUGACCAGCCACAUGGCCUGGGUGCCUUCAGGCUGUGGGCCACUGUGGGCAAGCCUGGGAUGUGAACUCGGGCUGCGACCCUGGGGCCGUUAAUGGCUGUCACGUGUCAUUGGAAUCGCAGUAGCAGCUGUUUAUAGAGAGAUGCUCCCAGUUGAAUCACUAUGUACUAAAUUUGUAGUUACCCAUCUGGAUAACAGAACAAGCUAUUGGCAGGAAGAAGAGGAAAAUUACACAAACUUAACAGGGCAAAGUACGCAUGCCGCAUAUACUUUUCGCUCUGAAAUGCAAGAUUCAGUAAAGACGAUUUCCACGUUUGGAGCUUGGCCUCCGGUGGGUUUAGCAUCCCCCUCCUCUGAUGUGGUUCUUGUUGGUAGCACUCUGCUCCCCAGUCUCGGACUUUUCAGUGUUUCUCUCUGGGUGGCUCCGUCAAGUUCCCAUCAUGCUGUAGCAUCUUCCUGGAAAUGUCUCCUUUUUGACCAAGACUCAAGCUGCUGCUGCCCUUUGUCUGCUCUCCUGCUGCAGCCUUUCCUUUAUAUAAUGAUCUUCCGACGUCCAACAGUCUCCUAUUAUCCAGAAAGGACCCUGCUUUUGUAAUUUACAAAUAUUUACUAGCCACCAAGAAAACGCCAAACUUUCCACUGAAGAACUGAAACUUUGCCUUUGGACCUGGAGAGCCACACACAUGAUGGUAUGACAGAAGUACCCGGGCACGUCAAAUCACAUUCCAUCCUCAAUGAAUAAGCCCUGGGUGACUGAAAUACAUCACAGAUGGAUGAGAAAAUAUGAAAACAAAAAUACCUUCCUAAGUGAAACCAUACUGAUUUACCUUCUGUGAAAUAAAUAAAGUAGGAUGUUUCUUUCAAAGAUAUGGAAUGAAUCCAUGCAGUUUGCUAUAGUUGUUUUAAAGUAAACUAUAUUUUAAAAAUUUUGCGGGGGGGAUAACUAAGUUGACCAUUUUUCUUUCUGAAUGGAUAACAAAUAUUUUGCUCUUCAAAAGAGGAAAAUUAAUUAGGAAAAUCAAUAAGCAAGCCAUAGAACGGGAGAGAAUAUUUACAGUACAUAUAUCAGACCAAAAGCUUGUGUCUCAAUAAUAUAAAGAACUACUAUAAUUUAUCAUAAAAGACAAACAACCAAAAAUGGGCAGAAUAGUUGAAUAGGCACCUCACAAAAGAAGAUACGUGAAUGGCAAUAUGAAAGGGAAAAUUGCUCAGUAUCAUUAAUCAUUAGGGAAAUGCAAAUUAAAACCACAAUGAGAUACUUCUAAACACAUCAGAAUGUCAAUAACUUAAAAAGAUUGACAAUACAGCGUUGUCAAGGAUUUGAUCAUAACUCUCAAAUACGGCCAAUAGAGUGUAAAAUGGAAUAGUCUGGGAAAAUGUUUGGCACUUUUUCAAAAAGUUAAACAUGCAUCUUCCCUGUGUCCCAGAAAUUCCACUCGCAGAUAUUCAUCUAAGAGAGAGAACAUACAGGUCCACAAAACACCUCAUGUGAGCAUGGUCAUCGAAGCUUUGUUCGUAGUAUCAAGAACAAGAACAAGCCCCGAGGUCCGUCACCAGGAAAGCGGAGGCGCUGUGGUGUGUGUAUACGGGGGAUACUUCUCACCGAUACAGGCGUGCGCUUCUGACACGCGUAGCAGCGUUAAAGGAUCUCACCUAUUAUGCUGAGCAAAAGAAGCCGGACGGAAGAGAGCACACGGCCUGCGACAGACAUUACAGGACGCUCCAGAAGAAUUCAAACAAGCCCUGACAGGAGAACUCAGACGGCAUCAGGGGCCUGUCUGGGUAGGGACAGACGCGCCUUCUGGGGUCGUGGACACCUUCUGUCACCCGUGUGGCUUCCUUGAGUGAAUGCAUUUGGAAAAGAGAAUGUGCUUCUAUAUGUAAUGACGUCUCAAUCAAAUGUUUCCUAAAGGAAAAACAGACACAGAUGUGUGUGCGUAUUUCCAGUAAUGGUUGGGGAAUGUGACCAAACAACAAUUUUAGUGGUGACACUGGGUCUGACUUCUGCAAGUUCAUCCAUUUGCUUAUUUAUCAGCUCGCAUCCUGCACCCGCUGUGCUCCAGACCCCGUUCCGGGACUUGGGAGACCACGGUGCAGUGGGGACGUACAGUUCUGGAGCUGGCAGCCAGCCUGAGGACGGGCUUCCUGAAGGGGGCUGGGCUCCCCGCCUCCAUCUCAGUGGGAGACUUUGAUGGCAUCCGGGCUGCUCACCUCAGACAGCUGGGCUCAUUCCUCCAGAGCAACGACCAUGACUCUGUCCUAGGGGUCUUCAUGAUGAUGUUUUAACUACCCUGCAGCCUACCAUUCAAAAACCAGAGCUCUAAUUCCAUCAGGUGUAAGUGCAAAAAAUAGAUUUCGAUGAGUGAGCAUUCCGGAAAAGAGGUAAGAGAAGUAAAUGUAAUAAGUAAAAAUUAUGCAAAGGGGAAAUUCAAAAUGUUGAGUAAUUUUCUACCCCAAAUAUUCCGACACCAUUUUAAGCUUCUUAACUCUGGGGCUAGUGCUGCCUUCCUCUCUCUGUUGCUCAAAUAUCACUGCAGUUGGCUGUGUGCACACGGGCCUUCCUGCUACAUCUCCUGUCCUUUAGUUUAGUUUGUUUACAGAAUUGUUCUGGACGGACACGUGGGUGCACCUCUUUCUUCUCCACCCCAGGAACGCCUUUCUAGGUUGGAAGGCCCACACUUCUGUUCAUGUUUUCUGACCCCUUGCUCUCUUGUCUUUACAUGAAAACUUGCUUGCGUCCCUGUCCUGUCCUUUCUAACGUCUUCAGUCCUUGAAGCUAAAGGGCCGACCGAAUAACAUUCAGGCAAGAGUCAGUGGGGCUGGGUCCCAGGAGCACAGCGCUCACACAGGCCCUUCAGAACCACAGGCCUGCAUGGCGUUGCUGGCACAGGGGUCAGCAUGGCCCGAAGGCCUUUUGUUUCCACGUUGCCUAAAUGUUCAUCUUCUCCCCACGUGUGAUGGUGUGUCUGCUGUGCUGUACCAGAGAAAAUCACCACUUCAUGCAUGUUUUUCUUUUGCCUCAACAGAUUCAAAUGUUAUGAGGUUUGUCAGGAAUUCCCUUGAGUUUGUACCAAAUCUUUGUAUCUCUUUUCCUUCAUAUUAGACAAACAUGUUUGACAUAAACUAUUUCAAGGACUGCAAAUAGAGGAGAGCUCUGAAUGGAUGGCUUUUACUUUAUGGAGAGUUAAUAAAUCUCAGAAAAUAAUAAUCUGGGCAGGAUGCAAUGAAGCUGAAUAGUUAAUCUGCAUAGAAUCAAGUAUGUGAUAUGGAGCCCACGUUCCACGUGGCAGAGUCCCAGUUCCAGACAAUCACCGCACAGACUGCCAAGAAACCAGGACUUGGGGAAACUAUGUCAGCCUUUGAAACGAUAUGAGCUGUAGGUGGAUUAUUGACUAAUCAUAGAACAGGUGGCUCAUUUAAAAAUUCUUAUUAUUUCAAGCGAGUGAUAAUUUUUGUAUUGGUUGUGAAUCUUAAGGGCAUAGAAAGGUGGAAGAAAUAUUGGAAAGGGAGUUAGUGCUGGCACAAGAGUUUGCUGUGAUAACACUGCAGAACGAUCCGCAUACCUGCUGGCUCCGUGCUCCUGGGCAGUUGAGAGUCAGGCGGAGGUCCCUUCACCUGGGGCGCACAGCCACCUGGAAUGGCUCUUCCUGGGUCAGAGGGCAAAAGUGCAAGGUGUCCAGCAAACUCUGCCCUUUGUGGCCUUGGCCAGCAUCACGUCUCUCCAUAUUCCAAGGUAUAUCACAGGACCAUGGCCAAUUCACCUCUCCCUGUGGAGGCUCAGUGGAACUCCAGGACUGGGGGCUGGGGGCACAGUUCUCCAGGGCACAGGAGAGCUGUCUGAGGCCUACGCUCAGCUGGGUGUGAAGGCGUGUGGCUUAGAUGAGACAAUAUUUGUGCACAAACCGCUUUUCUUUGUGAUCCUCACGUGUGUCCGUGUGACAGUAAGGAGCCACAGCAGCAGUGCAGCCACAGCACAGCGACCCUGUUCCCUUCCCAGAUGGCAGUGAUACGGAAAAGGAGAAGUACUUGUCCAACUACUGCUACUAAUAUUAGAGGAAGGAAUGAUUCCGUUGAUUGCCUGAUGACCCUCUGCUCGGUUAUGGAUCCCCAGCUGUCCUUGCUGUACCUGGAGUUGGGCUCAGUUCCAUACUGAGGUUUCUCUCCCCUACUGCAGUAGCUCAGAUAAAAUCUGUCUUGUCAUUUCAACAAAUGUGCAGCACAUUUUAUAUAUAUAUAUAUGGCAUCAAACUGAUGUGUUCAAAGAUCACGUAUGUCCUGGUGGUGUAGAAAUCGAUUCUUUUCUUCAUUUCCUUAAUGCCUGCUGGAUAUUCCCAUCUGUCAACCCCACACGCAAUUCAAACUGACAUCCUAAUCUGGACUCAUUAUCUGUCAUCCCCAGCCAGCCUCUCUCUGGGUUCCAUUCUGUCAGUAGCCCCAUCACCCAUCCAUUCACCAAGCUAGAGACCUCAGAGCCCCCUUGGGCACCUCUGUGCUGGGCCCCACCUCCACCCCGAACACUUCUCAGUAAACAAAAUUAUUUUAAGAGAUUAGUUACAAGAUUAUCAAAAUGAAUUUAAGAAGCUAGAAACGAGCUCAUCCAUUGAGUGGCCACAGCAAAACACCUCCCACAAUUGCAGAAGUUACCAUGUUUGGGUCCAGCAAGGCAAAGGGAAUAGAAGAGAUGCCUCUUUUGUGCUAUUGAGAGGCAUAUAUCUGCUGACAGAGACAAGACCAAUCCAGAAGAUUGUUAAGUCAAAAAGCCCUUAUUGCAGAAGGAUGAUUCUGUGUAUAGACAUUAGUAAUUGUUAAAAACCCCUGUAGAAUCCCUGAAGAGAAAUUCGUGGAAGAAAAUAAUUUGUCCUGAAGGCGGUACCAUAACAAGCAUCUGGAUGAAUAUCAAAAGCAGUGUUUGAAACAAAUGAGGUCGAUGGAAACCCCACCUGCGUCUGUCUGUCUACCAUUCCUGUGGGUGCAGUAAGAGGAGAUGGAAGGCUCUGAACCAAGAGUUCACUCUGGAAACCCAAGGUUCAAGGAGUGCACAGUUUUAAUCACAUAAAGAGAGAAGCUCUUUAUGUUAAAAAUAUUCCUGUAGCUCUAAUUUCCACGCUACAAGUGUUAUCUAAAUGAUGAAUUAGUAAAAUCCAAGCCAUUGCUGUCCAUCCAGUUUUAUCUUUAUGAGAGGAAAUGUAAUCUGAAGACCACUCUGGAAUUUCUAAGCUGACUGCCUGCUUAAGGAAGGUUAACCAAAUGUUUUUAAGAAAAAGAACGAAUUAGGAAAAAUAAAAACCAUGACAUUUUGUGAGAGAUUCUUACUUUGAAGAUUUGUUUAUGAUAGUAGUGUCUUACAAAAAUUGUUCACUUAAUUGACGUAUGUGAGGUCCAAAGUAUAAACAAUUGAAAUAUAUUAACAUGUAGUGAAAAAGUCCACAAAUGUAAAGCAAAAGUCCAGCUUUGGAAAAGUAAUGUUAAAGAUGGCUUUGCAGUCAUGUGUGGUUGGUGUUAUAAUUUGAAGCCAAAAGAACAAAAUUAGUAGAGAAACAUCUGUAUAUUCUUGUGGAAGAGUUUCUUUAUUUUGAAAUAGUUGAAUUUAAAAGUUCUGCUGAAUUAGAAAUCCUUUUGCAUCAUCAAAACAAAUCUCAACUACGUCAGUCAGUGAGAGAAAAGCAAGUUAGAUUCAUAAAUGAUCACACAUUUUAAGUCUAUUUUAAUGAGAUCAAUUUUUCCAAUUUUGUUUAAUGGCAAGACAGGACAUUCAGUCAAUUAGAGGACGAAGUGAUAACUUGUCUGCUCAUGAGUACAAAGACUUGUUUUUUAAGCAAUGGCGAUUAUCAGAAUGAUUCGGUAAAAAUUCUGAGUCAGAUUCCUGUAGCCAAUUUGUUUACAAAGCCUGAUAUAAAAGAGUGAUAUUUGCAAGCACAUGCUAAAGUUUUCAUUAAAAGUUUGAAAAUAUUGUUGUUGGAAGUGUUCCAGCUCAGCAUUUAAGAAUCUCUCUAAUGUUUGAUGUUUAACUUUUCCCUCAAGGUCAUAUAAUAUAAAGAAAGGAGGAGUGAGUUUUCGCUUGCCUCGCCCACGUAGAUAGAUGCUCCUGCGUCCCCCGGUUCACCCCGAGCGCCAGCCAGCCAGGCGUUUCUGUGUUGUGGCCGUGUGGAAACUUGGGAGGCCCAGGGCACUCGCAACAGCAGACCUGCCUUGUGGCCUCCCUGCCGCCUUCGCAGCACAUCCGCCCCUCCUGGCCGGGAUCGCAACCACCAUCCUUGAACAGUCGCCCCUGUUCCCAUAGCGCUCCCCGCACAUGAGAGUCCCCAGCUUCAGAGCUCAGCCCAAGUGUACGCUCCGCUUGCCCUCCCCGUCCUGGGACCCCAGCCGCCCCUCUCAGCUCUGUCCUCCCGCAGCCCACGAACUCCUUGAAGCAAAGGCUGGAUGUCAGGACUCUGCAUCUCCAGCUCCUACGCAGGGCGGAUGCCUACAGUUCGGUUCUGUUUGCUGAGCAGAGUGGGCCGGAGCCCGGCGCUCCACACAGCCCCACCACGCAUGUGGGACAGGCCAGCUCUCUGGUCUUCAGUCUCCAUGUUUUUUCUCUAAGUGACAGAGCCUGUUUUUAAAUAAAGCACACCUCACUGGGAGGCCCCAUAUAUGAAAACAGAUUUGGGGGGCAGUUCAGGUAGCAGAGGGAGUGGGGACCCCAACACUGCCACAUUCUCCCUCCCACCUGACCCAACAUGCGAGGACUCAGGGGCUCAUGAGUCCAGGGAAAUUAAGCUUCCCAUUUGCCCAGCCCAGGUCAGGGGUUCAGCUGUCACGCCUACCGCUGGACUGCGCAGGGCCCGGGGGCCGUGAGCGUCCACAGCCCCACCUCCGGCUGCAGCCGGGAGGCUCCGGGCCAGAGCUCCGCUGGGUGGGGAGGACGGCGCAGCAAGGCGGGUGCUGGGCUGGCGUGGGAGCCGUGCUCUGCACCACCCGCCUCACCCCUGCAGUUUCAGCUGGGGCGGAGGGAAAGUUCCACGGCGACGACUAAUCUCGUCUUUAAAUUUCCAUCUGUAGUAACGACAACAGUGCCUAACCCUAUAUAGUGCUGCUGGGUGACAGGCACCAUCUAAGACAUGCCUCUGUCCACAUAUUACCUCAGCCAGGCCUCCCGCCUAUUCUCGACCCCACGUUAUAGCCACGGACACUGAGCCCAAGGCAGGUGCUCGUGGCCUGAGAGCUGGAAGUGGAGCCAGGGCAGCCCGGACCUAGGGUGCAGGCUUGUAGUCACGACGCAGAGUGGAGAGCCCAGAAAGGUCUCCAAUGAGCAUUGAUGAGGGAUUUCACGGCAGCAGAAGGGAGCCGUGGGCUCACUACAGUCACGUUUGAGGUUUUCCAUUCACUCAGGGUUGAGGCAAAACCAGAAACAUUCGAACACUUGAGCAGCAGGCCCCAAAGCUGUGGUCUGCAUGUGACCCCUGCUCUUCUGACGGUGAUGCGGUGUUUUUAAUCAGCCCAGCUCCAGCCUAUCAUGGUAGGCUUGCGUUGUCUGCAUUUGAAGGUGCUGAUGAUUACAAGCCCAUGCCUCCCUGUGCGCCCAGCCCUCUCCUAGGCCCUGACUUAACCCUUGCCUGAGCCUAUGGGGGGAGCAGAGAGCUAGGGGAGCCCUGGGGGCGGGUAACAGCCUCUGCUGCAUGCAGGGGGCCUCUGGCCCUUGUUGGUCACCGACUCUCCCAGAGGAGAGGGGAGCAGAAGACAAGGUGAGGCAGGAUGGGCCUGCGCUGCUGGCUGGUGCCCCAAUCCAAGACCAAGAGCAGCGCUGGAGUCUCACCCGGAAAGCGUCCGCCCUCCAUGGCCGUCCGCAGCCAUGCAGGUCCUUUUCCUAGAUUUCACCUCCCACGAGGUCUGGUUGCCUCAAAGAUUCAAAGUCUAAACCACCACAGACCAAGGGCCUGCCCUCCCCCAAGGACAAGCUGCUCCACUGGGAGGGCGCUGACCUCGGACCCGGGAUUCCGAGAAGCGGCUGGAACACGGGCAGCCCUGCAGGCUCGGGCAGCAUCACUGCACCGGGCGGCCAACGUGAUGCCCAGAAACGCUUCUCCAGUUUCGCAGGAAGCCCAGUCACAUCUGGGGGCCCCUGAUGCCGUCCACCGACACCUGUGCUGCGAAUGCCCUGAGCCACAAACAUGGGCUCCUGGAGGACAGCAGGUUAUGAAAUCUCACUGCAGAGCGUUCGUCCAGAGGAACCCAUCCUUAAAUGACCUGUGAACUGGGCAGUGACGGGUGGGUGGAGAACACGUAACAGACACGUGUAGACACGGUUUUCUAUUCCAGUGAUGAUGGCAGUUACCUGAGUCUAAGUUAUUAGCCUCUGGAGAGCAUAUUGUGAGGACACAGAAAGGCGUCCUGUGAAACCUAUGGCUACAGACCUGACACCGUUGAGGGGUGGCAAAGGCUCAGGUGAAAUAUUGUGUCUCUGUUUUGUUUUAGCAGAAACGUCCCAACCACGUGUGGAAAACACAUACAUGGAAGGCCUACCUGGUGGUUUGUGUGCAGCCGACCCCUUCAAAGACAUUCUGCUUCCGAGCUGGUGUUUGAAUGUGCAUUUCAGGGGGCCACCUAGGAUGUGACAACAACAGCCUCUCCCUGACCCAGAAACACCACCCCAGCUGAUCAUGGAGCCCACAGUUCUGCCAAUUCUGCAGAGAUCCUGCUGGCGUGGCCUCCAAGGGUGUCCUGGGCUCGGCUGCGCUUGGCUCCUCCACUGCCGUGAGCCAUCCGAACGCCGACACUCUGGCUGGGACGUCACGUUACUUAGCCUCCUCUGAGCCCCACAGCAGACGGGCUGACGCUCACCGUCUCUCCUGUCCUCCUGGGCACACACUCCUCUCUGAGCCCAAGCUCUCCUGUAGGUGGGAGUGGCCCACAGCUGCGUUUGGGCUGGAAUGGGGUGGGGUGACUGCACUCCUAGGCUGAAUUCUACAGCUCCAGGGGCACAGCUCCUGUCCUGCCCUUCUGCAGCUCAGGUCAGGGGACCCAGGUGACACAAGGGACCUUGGUCCUGGAACAUGGCUUGGAGGAACGCCACUAGUCUGGAAAACUGGUUUUGACCCACAAGUACACAGUUGGCCCUAUGCUGUCGCUCACCUCCUGUACCAGCUCAAAUAGUUUGCCAAAGCAUUUCUGGAAGCUUGUCUCCUUCUCUCUCAGAUCAGCAGAGCAGACUUCCUCCAGCCUCCCUGUCUCCCUGCACCCCACAGCCAGGCACAAGCCCACUUCGCUACCUAUGGGAGGACUGAGCAGAACAGUGACACUAUGAAUGUCUUCAGUACAUGCGUUCAUUCCCCCCAGGGCUUCAUCUGACGCUGGCUCAUGCUACGGACUGGGAAGGACUGAGCAUCAGCAUACAGCUCGGAUUUCCUGACGUGCGUCCACGGCACAAAAGCCAUAGGAGGUGCUUUGGGAAAGAGAUCCUGUAAUCAUAUGUGUGUGGGAAAUGCUGCCCAUUUCUUUCUUAGAGCUUCAAGACCGUGGUGGUGAUGCACAGGAAGUGUCCAGAACUGUUACGGUUCCACAAUCUAGACGUUUCUCUAAACCUUCUGAAACGGAUGCACUUCCUUUUCUUGGCUUGUUGUGUUUGGUUCUUCACUUCUGAGGCCAUGCAAGGGAAAGUGCAAAAGACAUCAGAGGAGAGAGAACACAGAGCAAGAGAGAGGCCUGCUGGUCCUGCAAUCCCCUAGAGAAAAUCUAUGCUGGAAAGGGGUGGAGCUUCUACUCUAAAUAUUUAGUAAAAAAAAUAAAAAAAUAAAAAUUGCUAUGCUUUCUGAGCCACUUUAUAUUUUUUCCCCUAAGACUUCACCGAGACCAUGAUUCAGCCUUCCAUUUUGUAUCUGCAGAGACUUAAAGCGGGGAUUAGACCUUAGGUAUUUCGGAAAACGUCUAAUAAGCUUCCGUCCAGCCGCGCUGGUCUCCGCUCCCUGGCCGGAGGCCCCGGGAGCACCAACCUGCGCCCCCCGUGGGCGCCGCCUCCCGCCCUCCACUCCCCCGCCAGACAUCCGGUGACUGCGGUUAGGGACACACGCUCCUCCAGCCGAGGGAGAGCCGCGCUUCUCCCGGUCACGGCGCAGCCACCUUCCUCGGAGCCAGGCCCCUUGCAGAUUCACCGCAGCGUGGAGGCUUGGGACGAGGGACCACUGUCCUGCCCCCCAAACUGCAGCCCCCGUCCUCUGUUCCAGGCCCAGGCCGCGGUCGGCAAGCUGGAACCUCUCUUUGCCUCCACUGGCAUCGGGCAAAUGCCUUCAAACCCGGAAGACAGUGGCUCGGCGCAGCUCCUUGUUUGAAGACUACAGCUUGGUGGCUUCUAAGGAAGAGUCCAGACUCUUGCAGGACCACAGCCAUGUACUGUCCCUGGCACCACGUAGACAGCCAGAGCGCCCAGGCCGGGUGACCGGGUCUCUGGUGCCCCGCCCACGCUGGAUGCCCACCUGGUCAGGCACACGGCGCACGGCCAUCCUCUCGCUGGGCCGGCGUCAUCGCGCCCCAGUGUCCGCGGAUGGCUUGCCUGGGCCACGCACAGCGCCGGGCAGAGGACACGGGCCAGACGCCGCCCAUACAGUGUCCACUGGUCACUGGGCAAAUCCUGCCGAGGGCCGCUCUGCCGGGUGGGCCAGACGGUCGUGAGAGCCGCCGGUGCCAACCAGGCAUCACAGAUGAGCCACGGCCGCCGGAGCAGCGCACACGGCCGCCGGAGC
Long non-coding RNA from Orcinus orca (killer whale), 24132 nucleotides. RefSeq lists it as uncharacterized. Lineage: Eukaryota; Metazoa; Chordata; Mammalia; Artiodactyla; Delphinidae. The record is from RefSeq and is a predicted model, not a curated record. The transcript has 4 exons.